AAAGUUGUACGUAUGCGCACGCAUUCUGUACUCCAGAAUUUUGGGGUUUUGGAAUUUUCUGUAGUGAAAGAGAUCUCUCUCUCUCUCUACCUGUAGUAGUAUUCCAUUUUUUCUGUCUAUUUGAAUAUGGGGAAUAACGGGGAUGCUCCGGUGGAGCCGAUGAAGCUGACUUCAUUCAGGAGCCGGAGGAAAGCACCAGCCAUUUCCGGUGAACCUGAUGACUUUAUCAACCUCUUGCAUGGCUCUGAUCCCAUCCGAAUUGAGCUCACUCGUCUUGAGAAUCAACUCCGAGAUAACGAUAGAGAACUGGGGGAGGCAUAUGGAGAAAUCAAAUCUUUGAAGUACUCAGAACGCGUUAAAGAAAAGGCAGUUGAGGAGCUAAAUGAUGAGCUAAAGAAAGUAGAUGAAAAGCUGAAAAAAACAGAAGCUCUUCUUGAAAACAAGAAUCUUGAGAUUAAGAAAAUAAAUGAUGAGAAAAAGUCAGUGCUGGCUGCACAAUUUGCUGCUGAAGCUACUCUUCGGAGAGUUCAUGCCGCACAGAAAGAUGAUGAGAUGCCGCCCAUUGAGGCAAUCAUCACACCCCUCGAAGCAGAGUUAAAACUUUCCAGAUUAGAGAUGGCAAAGUUGCAGGAUGACAAUAAAGCACUAGACAGACUUACAAAAUCUAAAGAAGCCGCUCUACUGGAGGCAGAACGAACUGUUCAAAUGGCAUUGGCAAAGGCUGCUUUGGUUGAUGACCUGCAAAAUAAAAAUCAAGAUCUAAUGAAACAGAUAGAAAUAUGCCAGGAAGAAAACAAAAUAUUGGACAAAAUGCAUAGACUGAAGGUUGCAGAGGUUGAGAAACUAACACAAACUGUAUGGGAGCUUGAGGAAGCUGUAUUGGCUGGUGGAGCUGCAGCAAAUGCUGUACGAGAAUACCAGAGAAAAGUGCAAGAACUGAAUGAGGAGAAAAGAAUCCUAGAUCGUGAGCUAGCCCGUGCAAAGAUUUCUGCAAACAGAGUAGCUGUUGUUGUUGCCAAUGACUGGAAAGAUGCCACUGACAAAGUAAUGCCUGUAAAACAAUGGCUUGAAGAAAGAAAAUAUUACCAGGGAGAAAUGCAACAGCUUAAAGAUAAACUGGCAAUUGCAGAGCGUGCUGCAAAAGCAGAAGCACAGUUAAAGGAAAAGUAUCAAUUACGAUUUAAAGUUUUGGAAGAAAGGUUUAAGGUGCCUUCAAAUGUUACAUCUCGCACUGCAGCUGAAGGAAGAAGCAUAAGCAAUGUGCGCUCAAGGCGUAUGUCCCUUGGAGGAGUUGAAAACUUGUCUAGACCCUCCAAUGGUUCUUUAUUACGAAAAGCAAGUUUUCAAUCUGGAUCAUCCCAGUCAAAUGAUGCUAGCUCAUUGUUAAAAAAAGCAAAGAACUUAUCGGGCGCAUUUGAUGGCGGCAGCAGAUCAGAGGGUAAGGAGAAGCCAGUCCAGCUUACGGAUCAGAAAGAUAAUGGACAUAGUGGUACUAGCAGAGAGUCCCAUAGCAAUGGAACAGUAACUGCACAUGAGAAUGCAGAUUUGAAUGCUGCUGAGAAAAUGAAGUUGGAAAAUAAAGAUUAUGUUUCUGGAGCAGUGUACGAUAUGCUUCAAAAAGAGGUUAUAGUUCUACGCAAAGCUUGCAAUGAGAAAGAUCAUAGCCUGAAGGACAAAGAUGAUGCCAUUGAGAUGUUGGCAAAGAAGGUUGAAACGUUAAACAAGGCAAUGGCAAUUGAGGCCAAAAGAAUGCGCAGGGAAGUUGCAGCAAUGGAAAAGGAGGUUGCUACAAUCCGUAAUGGCAAGGAGCAUGAUCAAAGGCUAAAGUGCAGUUACUCUGCCAAGGGAGCCAUGAAUGGUCAUACACUACCACAAAGGUGAUGCUCUCAAAACCCCCCUCCACUAAUCAAAUUGCUGAAUACAGAAUGCUCAAUAAGGACAACAUUUGCUUACAUGUGUUAAUAUAUCAGCGUGCGCAAAGGGAAGAAACGAUCGGAGCUACAAAAAAUUUACCGAACAAUGAUGAAAGCGGGCAGCAUUUCAUAUCAGAAGGAAUAUUUCUCCCCUCGAAUACUAUCACAACUCAUGUCAGUUUGUAAAGUACUAUAGUUGUUUGGGGGCAUUAGCUUAUUUUAUGUAUAUGUUUGUAACAGAUUUGUAUUAUUAUGAGUAAAAGAAAUGCAUCGGUAUGGAACUAUGGCCAAAGGCAGG
Solanum stenotomum is the source of this 2211-nucleotide RNA transcript. It is a transcript of the gene named microtubule-associated protein 70-1-like, with no coding region annotated. The transcript is spliced from 11 exons. NCBI's taxonomy places the organism in Eukaryota, Viridiplantae, Streptophyta, Magnoliopsida, Solanales, Solanaceae. The record is from RefSeq and is a predicted model, not a curated record.